GCCGGGUGUGGUGGCUCACGCCUGUAAUCCCAGCACUUUGGGAGGCUGAGGUGGGUGGAUCACCUGAGGUCAGGAGUUCAAGACCAGCCUGAACAAUAUGGUGAAACCCCGUCUCUA
Molecule: non-coding RNA, 117 nt
Organism: Nomascus leucogenys (northern white-cheeked gibbon)
Lineage: Eukaryota; Metazoa; Chordata; Mammalia; Primates; Hylobatidae
Rfam family: Metazoan signal recognition particle RNA
About the family: The signal recognition particle (SRP) is a universally conserved ribonucleoprotein. It is involved in the co-translational targeting of proteins to membranes. The eukaryotic SRP consists of a 300-nucleotide 7S RNA and six proteins: SRPs 72, 68, 54, 19, 14, and 9.
Source: Rfam